UACGUAGGGUGCAAGCGUUAAUCGGAGUUACUGGGCGUAAAGCGUGCGCAGGCGGCUUUGCAAGACAGAUGUGAAAACCCCGGGCUCAACCUGGGAACUGCAUUUGUGACUGCAUGGCUAGAGUGCGGCAGAGGGGGAUGGAAUUCCGCGUGUAGCAGUGAAAUGCGUAGAUAUGCGGAGGAACACCGAUGGCGAAGGCAAUCCCCUGGGCCUGCACUGACGCUCAUGCACGAAAGCGUGGGGAGCAAACAGG
This 253-nucleotide ribosomal RNA is filed under the name uncultured bacterium. Its description in RNAcentral is "partial 16S ribosomal RNA". It matches the Rfam family "Bacterial small subunit ribosomal RNA", at positions 524 to 776 of the family's 1533-position model. The record is from RNAcentral.